ACGCUGGCGGCGUGCCUAAUACAUGCAAGUCGAGCGAGCUAAAUUCAAAGAUCCCUUCGGGGUGAUUUGCUGGACGCUAGCGGCGGAUGGGUGAGUAACACGUGGGCAAUCUGCCCUAAAGACUGGGAUAACACUUGGAAACAGGUGCUAAUACCGGAUAACAACAUGAAUCGCAUGAUUCAAGUUUGAAAGGCGGCGCAAGCUGUCACUUUAGGAUGAGCCCGCGGCGCAUUAGCUAGUUGGUGGGGUAAAGGCCUACCAAGGCAAUGAUGCGUAGCCGAGUUGAGAGACUGAUCGGCCACAUUGGGACUGAGACACGGCCCAAACUCCUACGGGAGGCAGCAGUAGGGAAUCUUCCACAAUGGACGCAAGUCUGAUGGAGCAACGUCGCGUGAGUGAAGAAGGUUUUCGGAUCGUAAAGCUCUGUUGUUGGUGAAGAAGGAUAGAGGCAGUAACUGGUCUUUAUUUGACGGUAAUCAACCAGAAAGUCACGGCUAACUACGUGCCAGCAGCCGCGGUAAUACGUAGGUGGCAAGCGUUGUCCGGAUUUAUUGGGCGUAAAGCGAGCGCAGGCGGAAUGAUAAGUCUGAUGUGAAAGCCCACGGCUCAACCGUGGAACUGCAUCGGAAACUGUCAUUCUUGAGUGCAGAAGAGGAGAGUGGAACUCCAUGUGUAGCGGUGGAAUGCGUAGAUAUAUGGAAGAACACCAGUGGCGAAGGCGGCUCUCUGGACUGCAACUGACGCUGAGGCUCGAAAGCAUGGGUAGCGAACAGGAUUAGAUACCCUGGUAGUCCAUGCCGUAAACGAUGAGCGCUAGGUGUUGGGGACUUUCCGGUCCUCAGUGCCGCAGCAAACGCAUUAAGCGCUCCGCCUGGGGAGUACGACCGCAAGGUUGAAACUCAAAGGAAUU
RNAcentral lists this ribosomal RNA (910 nucleotides) under uncultured bacterium. RNAcentral describes it as "bacterial SSU rRNA". It matches the Rfam family "Bacterial small subunit ribosomal RNA", at positions 33 to 911 of the family's 1533-position model. The record is from RNAcentral.